AUACAGAGGUGGCAAGCGUUGUUCGGAUUCAUUGGGCGUAAAGGGUCCGUAGGCGGUUUCGUAAGUCGGAUGUGAAAACUCAAGGCUCAACCUUGAGACGCCAUUCGAUACUGCGAUGACUAGAGUCCGGUAGGGGAGCAUGGAAUUCCUGGUGUAGCGGUGAAAUGCGCAGAUAUCAGGAGGAACACCAGUGGCGAAGGCGGUGCUCUGGGCCGGAACUGACGCUGAGGAGCGAAAGCAUGGGGAGCAAACAGGAUUAGAUACCCCAGUAGUCC
This 275-nucleotide ribosomal RNA is filed under the name uncultured bacterium. RNAcentral's name for it is "partial 16S ribosomal RNA". It matches the Rfam family "Bacterial small subunit ribosomal RNA", at positions 523 to 796 of the family's 1533-position model. The record is from RNAcentral.